AUGCCUGCAUCGACAGCACAUACACUAAAAUUGGAAUGAUACAGAGAAGAUCAGUAUGGCCCCUGCACAAGGAUGACACGCAAAUUUGUGAAGUGUUCCAUAUUUUU
This is a small nuclear RNA of Gorilla gorilla gorilla (western lowland gorilla), 107 nucleotides long. Lineage: Eukaryota; Metazoa; Chordata; Mammalia; Primates; Hominidae. The record is from Ensembl.